RNAcentral lists this ribosomal RNA (2164 nucleotides) under Lasiopogon cinctus. RNAcentral's name for it is "eukaryotic LSU rRNA". It matches the Rfam family "Eukaryotic large subunit ribosomal RNA", at positions 44 to 1897 of the family's 3401-position model. The record is from RNAcentral. Lineage: Eukaryota; Metazoa; Arthropoda; Insecta; Diptera; Asilidae.
UAAUGAGGGAAGGAAAAGAAACUAACUAGGAUUUUCUUAGUAGCGGCGAGCGAAAAGAAAAUAGUUCAGCACUAAGUUAUUUUGUUAUAUUAACAAAUAUAAGAUGCAGUGUAUGGAAUAUCUAUGAUCUAAUAAAAUAAAUUAACUGUCCAAGUCCUUCUUAAAUGAGGCCAUUUACCCAUAGAGGGUGCCAGGCCCGUAGGGACGUUAAUGAUUAUUAGAAGAUAUUUCUUAAGAGUCGUGUUGCUUGAUAGUGCAGCACUAAUUGGGUGGUAAACUCCAUCUAAAACUAAAUAUGACCAUGAGACCGAUAGCAAACAAGUACCGUGAGGGAAAGUUGAAAAGAACUCUGAAUAGAGAGUUAAAUAGUACGUGAAACUGCUUAGAGGUUAAGCCCGAUGAACCUGAAUAUUCAAUAUGAAAAAUUCAUCAUUAAUAAUAUAUUAUAAUCUUAUAUAUAAUAUAAAAAUAAUGUGCAAUUUUUUCAUAUAUGAACAUUGUAAUCUGUUAAUAUUAUAUAAAUUUAUCAAAAGUGCCGUUUGGAUCUGUUUAUAUGUUAUUAUAAAAUUUAUUUUAUAAUUCUUAUAAAAUCCAAAUUAAAAUGCGGUCACAGAUAAAUUAUUAACAGAUUUUUUAUAUAUAACGCUAACAUUUAAUAUGUUAUUAUAAAAUACUGGUCAUGUAUUAAUGUUUUAUAAUAUGCGUUUAUAUGAUUAACAAUGCUAAAGAUUUAGGAUACCUUCGGGACCCGUCUUGAAACACGGACCAAGGAGUCUAACAUAUGCGCAAGUCAUUGGGUAUUAAAAACCUAAAGGCAUAAUUAACUUGACUGUUUAAAAAAUAUUGGAUUAAUUAUAUAUUAAUAUAAUAUAUAUUCAAUCCAGGGGCGUUCCAUAUAGUUAUGUAUUUUAAGAUAUUUUUUAUAUUAUUAUUAAUACCUCUAACUGGAGCGUACCUUGAGCAUAUAUGUUGUGACCCGAAAGAUGGUGAACUAUACCUGAUCAGGUUGAAGUCAGGGGAAACCCUGAUGGAAGACCGAAACAGUUCUGACGUGCAAAUCGAUUGUCAGAAUUGGGUUUAGGGGCGAAAGACCAAUCGAACCAUCUAGUAGCUGGUUCCCUCCGAAGUUUCCCUCAGGAUAGCUGGUGCAUUUAAAAUUUAUGUAAAAUAAUCUUAUCUGGUAAAGCGAAUGAUUAGAGGCCUUAGGGCCGAAACGACCUUAACCUAUUCUCAAACUUUAAAUGGGUAAGAACUUCACCUUUCUUGAUAUGAAGGUUGAAGUUGUGAUAUAUUGUUACCCAGUGGGCCACUUUUGGUAAGCAGAACUGGCGCUGUGGGAUGAACCAAACAUAAUGUUAAGGCGCCAAAAUUAACAACUCAUACUGAUACCAUGAAAGGCGUUGCUUGCUUAAAACAGCAGGACGGUGGACAUGGAAGUCGUAAUCCGCUAAGGAGUGUGUAACAACUCACCUGCCGAAGCAACUAGCCCUUAAAAUGGAUGGCGCUUAAGUUGUAUGCCUAUACAUUAUCGUUAAAGUAUAUGAUUUAUAGAAAUUUUUUUUUAUAAAUUUUGAAACUUUAAUGAGUAGGAGGGUACAAUGGUGUGCGUAGAAGUGUUUGGCGUAAGCCUGCAUGGAGCCGCCAUUGGUACAGAUCUUGGUGGUAGUAGCAAAUAAUCGAAUGAGACCUUGGAGGACUGAAGUGGAGAAGGGUUUCGUGUGAACAGUGGUUGAUCACGAGUUAGUCGGUCCUAAGUUCAAGGCGAAAGCCGAAAAAUUUUAAGUUAAUAAUAAAAUGAUAAUAUUUUAAUAUACUUAAUAUUUUUGAACGAAAGGGAAUACGGUUCCAAUUCCGUAACCUGUUGAGUAUACGUUUGUUAUUAAAAAUGGGCUUUUAUUGCUCAUCCUGGCAACAGAAACAACCAUAAAGAAGCCGUCGAGAAAUAUCGAAAGAGUUUUCUUUUCUGUUUCAUAACCAUACUACCAUGGAAGUCUUUCGAAGAGAGAUAUGGUAGAUAGGUUAGAAGAGCAUGGCAUUUACUGUUGUGUCGAUAUUUUCUCCUCGGACCUUGAAAAUUUAUGGUAGGGUAACGCAAAUUUCUUAACAGGCCGUACCGAUAUCCGCAGCUGGUCUCCAAGGUGAAGAGUCUCUAGUCGAUAGAAUA